Molecule: long non-coding RNA, 7277 nt
Filed under: Triticum aestivum (bread wheat)
Lineage: Eukaryota; Viridiplantae; Streptophyta; Magnoliopsida; Poales; Poaceae
Description: long non-coding RNA (TAES_LNC001568)
Source: RNAcentral
ACAUCUAGAAGUUAUCUCCUCUCUCCAAAGUUGUCUUUUCUCUGCCUUAUAAAGGUAUCUUUCUUUGUUUUUUUCUUCUUAUACUUCCGUAGCUUAUUAUUUUUAGACUAAUACGAUAGAAUAAUUAGAUUAUCAAUUAGUCUACGUAUUUAUACUUUAGACCUUAACCAUAGCUAUUUUUCUAUCGUAAAACAGCUUGGCCUCAUUUUUCAAAUAGCCAUAACUUUUUACUCGUUUGUCCAAAACCAACGCCCACUUUUUCAUUAUGAUCCCCUCUAUCCAGUAAUCCAACCCAAACAUGUUUUUGAAAUUUUGAAAUUUCGAAUUUUAUUUAGAUUCACAUUCAAACUUCUUUUGAACAUAACUUGAGUUUCGUAACUCUGAUUUAGUUGAUUCUUUUUGCAAAUCGAAGCUCUUGACCUAAACUUUGUGAUAAGGCCAAAUUCACAUAAUUUUGGUACUGUUAGAAAUUGGUUUAUGUUGCAAGAGUUAUUUUCUUGGUUUUGAUGUUUUUCGAACUGUCUUCUUCGUUCUUCCCGAUCUUCUGAGUGAUUGCUUAUGUGUGGUUACUACUGCUUGCUCAUGAUUGAUUGAACGGAGUAUGACGAGUAGAACUAUCAAGAGUUUUGAGUGCGAAUCAUCUUCAUCAACAGUACAGGCAAGUUCACACUUUGAUCAUACCCCUUUAUCACCCAGUUUUUAUGCAUUAGUUCCAAUCCUCAAACAUUGCAUGAUUAGGAUGUCAUUAACAUGUGGGUUGGGAAGUAGUUGAUGAGGUAGAACCUAUUACCCUAUUACAUUCAAACCCUUGGGAGUUACUUCUACGCGUUGCUUAAUUUGCUAUGCUAUCCUCGUAGACGUGGUUUGGGUGAGUGAAAUCCAUGACAGAUGUGAGAUUGUUAAUUAAUGGUUCAACUUAAGGUGGCAACUUAAAUACACAUCUGGGUGGAUUGAGGCACCUGGAGUACCCAGUGUUGCCUGUAAUUUUGAUAAUCCCGGAGUACCCGUGUGAUUUUCCUAUGGACCGCCACCCAGGCUCAAAGGGAUCAUAAGAUUAUUCAUGCUACAAACUUCCGUGUGCAGCCACAAGCUAUUAUGGGCUCUAGCAUAGUUGAGUAAGUUGCGUGAAGCUCUUGAAGAGGUGGAUCAGCAGGUAGAGGGUUGUAGGUUUGGUAUGGUCUGCCCGGAGUAGAGAGUUAAUGUUUUUGAAAGACUGUGUCUCGGUCACCGUUUCUCAAACACCAUGUAGUGCGAGAAAUCCAACGGAGGCGAUCGAGUCUUGUGGGGAAAAGUGCGCAAACCUCUGCAGAGUGUACAAACUAAUCAUGAUUAGCCGUGUCCCCGGUUAUGUACAAUCUUGAGUCUGUGGUACUUGGAUUAUCCUACUGAUCUCAUCACGUUACUUAAAUAAUUUGUUGGGUUAAUGAUUAUUAUUUUGGGAUUGAGUUGGAGGAACCUUCUCAAUAUUUUCAACCAACUUUAUAGUUAAAUAAAAUAUAUUCCUUUGCAGUAGGGAAAAAUUGGCUUUUCGCAAAAACUAUAACCAUAGAGCUUUUCCACCAGCCAAAUAUGCAUGUAGUGAUAGCCUUUAUUCAUCAUUCUCCUAUUGUGUGAAUUUGCCAGUACAUUCAAUGUACUGACCCUUUGUGGCUGCAAUGUCUCAUGUUGCAGGACUUCUUACGACGAGUAAGUGAUACGUUAGGGUUACGAUUUCUACACUCAACUUUACCGUUGGUGUUGAUGGGAAUCCACAACCUUUGUUACUUCCGCUAUUUGGAUUGAGGUAAUAGUAUUUAUGUUAUUUUAUACAUGUGAUUUACCUCUGUUAUAAAUCCUCGAGUACUGUGUGUCAGCAUACCGAUCCAGGGAUGACACUUAAGCACAGAGACUUGACCAUCUGAGGUCAGGUCGCUACAAGAUGGUAUCAGAGCACAUGUUGACUGUAGGAUGUGACCCUUGAGAUUGGCAAGCCCACAGGAAAGAUUUUCUCUAAAACUUAAUUUUAAAAGAUCUUUUACCUCUCUUAUCUUUGGAGCUUAUUCAAAUAUUCCUUUUAGUGAGACCAUACCCCUUUUCCCUUUUGACCAUGAAGAUUCGAUUGAUGAGACCACUCCAAGAAGUACAAGAUAUCAGACAAGUAAGAUCAUUUCGGAAUGAAGAGGAUUUUAUCGUGCAUUAUAAUAAUGGAAACUACAACGGGUGAAGACUCCGAAGACUAGGAGAAUUUAAGGCCAUGUAGAAUUUUCCAGAUUUGUAUGACCUAGGAAGGCACCCCUUAUGGAACUUGGCAGACUAUUGAAGCUAUCAAUACCGGGAUCAAGGUGUAUCGGAGAAAUACUGAAAUAAGGAGCAUGAGAACUCGAAGUUUGGAAAACUCUAAGGAAGGAGAUAUCAACUAUGGAAUGAUAGCUCAUGGAAAUGUCAAGAGCAGAAACAUGGUUAUCCGUGAUUUCAUCGCCCGCUUAUGCUAUUUGUCACCGGGCUGAGUUAAGCAGGCAUUUCUUCGGAAGGAUUGGAUGGAAGAAGGAUGAUGGAGCACCUAUCAGUAAGAUGAAGUUUUAACCUUAGCUGGUGUAUCGCCAGAAUCUGGAGUAGUACAUCGAGAAGUUUAAGAUGGACUUGUAGGAAGCUGUAUAUGACAAGGAAUCAUUUCGUGAAGAACUCAAAACCCAGAAGCUAAAGUUAGCCAAGCUAGAGGAGCAAAACCUCGAUAUACCAGAGACUUGUCAAGAACUUAAGGACAGUAGGACCAUGGUUCAUGCCAAGGAUGUUGAAACCCAGAAGUUGGAACGCCACUCCAGAAAUAUUAAAGGAUGUCACGAGAGACUUCGCGUCAACAAAGAUGAUCUGGCAAAAGAACUUGAGAAGGACAAGCAUGAUCGGAAGAAGCCCAUCAGAGAUAUGAACAAAACUGGAAGAGUUUGGCGACGUUCAAGAUUUAUUGACCUUUAGAAGACCAAACCCCUGUUAUAUACCUACGUUAGAUGCAAUGAUUGUGAGUUGUCAUUUGUUUGAUGUUUUUCCAACACCCACAAUAAAAUCUGUCUUUUCAAAACCAUUGUUUGUAUUGUGUGCAUCCCUCUCCCUCUCUCUUAUCUUACCCCAAACCCACAUGGACCCAAUAGAGGAUGAAUGGAGAUGAGCUUGUAUUUUCGGGACCCGAUGAGUCAGUUGGAGACAGACUGAUGGAUUCAGAACAUGGAGGAUCACAUGGAGAAUAACCCUAUAGUUGGAAAUGAUAUGACCCAGCAUGCUCUUCAGUGCUUUGAAAGAGGUGUUGCUACUUUGUGGAGGAUGUACCAAACCAUGAAUGGAUGGCAAGGAGUAACCACUUGGAGAGAAUUAAAAUUGACUCUGCAAAGACUCACCUUGUGUCUCAGAAGUUGAAGCCUUAUGGAAAGGAUAUGAGGAAACCUUGUGCAUGCAAGAUUUGUGGAGAAAUAGGACACACCCAUAAAGAACACAAGGAUGAAAGCCCUAAUUAUGAAGGAAGUCACCCAGUUGAAGAAUGCCCAAUUAGGCAGAUUACUUGUUUCUUGUGUGAAGGGAUUACCCACUAUCCUACUCAGUGUCACAUUUACUACAUGGUACGAAGGACCGUACAGCAGAAGAAAGAAGUAAAGAAAGGAGCCCUUAUGGAAAUUUUAGAAGAACCAGUGAUGAAGGAAGAUGUGGAGGACACACCUAAAGAGGACCCGAGUAAACCCUGCACUAAGUCUUGCUAUUCAUGUGGAGAAGAAGGACACAUCUCUCAAAAUUGUUUGAAUGGGGAUCUAGUAGAAUUCCCACGGAGGAAGUAGAGUAUGACCCACAAGAAAUAGAAUCCAUGAUUGGAACGGAAAAGUCCACGAAGAGAAGUAGAUUGGAUACCAGGAAGGACCUGAGUCAUACCACCUAUUACAGGUGCAAGGAGUCAGGGCACUACCUCAGCAGUUGCCCAAAAAGGAAGCCUCAAGACUUUUCAGAAGUAAUAUGUUUUUGUUGUAAUAGAGCAGGGCACUUUGCCAGAGAAUGCCCCAAGGAGAAGGAAACUUGUGCUAGAUAGUUGAGUUUGCAACAAAAGAAAUGGAGUAGUAGGAGUGAGAACAUUUGCUUUUAUAUUGAGGUGUUGAAAUUGAGACAUGUAACGGAAAAGCGAGAGAUUGUAAUCAAUUGAGAGUGAAUAAAGUUAGCAUCGUUGGUACUGAUAUGGAUUUUAUGAGUUGUUACUCUAUGAAGAAGGAUUUUGACCAUUUCUGAGGAUAUGAGAAAUAUGGUCUAUGGAAGAUUUGUGCAUUUUAAGGGUGGUAGGACCCUGUAAGAACCCUUGACCCCUGGAAAAGAUAAGGAUACUCCACUGAGUCGAUUUCGGACAAAAUGAAUACGAGUUUUGUCUCGAUAUGUGUGAUACUCCAAGAGUAUGUGGGAUGAAGUUGGAGACCAUCAGUUGUUUGGACAAAAUGUGAUCAAGGAGUCAGAAGAGAAUGUUAAGUUGAUUCGAGAUAGACUGAAGGUAGCUCAGUCCAGGCAGAAGAGUUAUGCAGACUUAAAAAUGCAAGGAGGUAGUCUAUGAAAUUGGAGAUAGAGCAUGUCUUCAUGUCUUCCCUCUGCGAGGAGUUAAACAAUUUGGAGUUAAGGGAAAGUUAGCCCCGAGAUUUGUAGGACCAUCCUGACUCUUGGAGCGUAUGGGAGAAGUGGACAACAAGUUGGAGUCACCCGAAGGACUGUCAGGAGUUCAUGAUGUGUUUCAUGUUUCCCAGUUGAAGAAGUGCCAUGCAGAGAUGGCCAAUAUUCCCCGGUAAGUACGCUUGAACCUGGAAAGGAUAAUGAUGUACCACGAAGUGGAGUAUGGACUCCAUAAGUAUAAGUUUAUAUUUCCGUAUGUGGGAUAACCCUCGAGGAUGAAGAGAUGAAUUACUAUUGGAUAUAAAGGAGGUAUGAUGUUGGUAUUAUGGAACGAUUGUAACUCUGUGAUGAGUUUGAAUAAUCACGUCUUAGUUUGGUACCAACAGAAGGAAGAGAGACAGUACAAAUGGAAGGAUUUAAGAAUGCCAGGAAGCUGGAUGUUUGGAAAAUAAUCAGUUGCCCCUAGGAUGAGCUCAAGGUUUACAAGUGAUGAGAUGGGCCAUAACCCACAGGCCCCAGGACCUGCCAAGGAACAAGCACAGUCUUGCUGAAGGAAAAACCAUGGAAGAAGUUACGUUUAUCGGCAGACAAUCUUAUAGAGUAAUGCAAAACCCGAGGGUUGUGAAGGGACGAUAGAUGUUUGUUUGGCUUGCAGAAUUAAUGGAUUUAACCGAACUUGGUUCAUCGACAAGAGAAAUUCUGCAAUGCUUGUGAGGAUGACCGAGUGUUAGAAUGCGAGAUUCACUAAACCGUAUACAGGGUAAUGAUUUGGGUGCGGGAUGGAUUGAUCACCAUACCAACUUACUCUUAUUAUUCGCCUUGCUAUAUGCGAUGGUAAAUCUGAGAGACUUACCUAUAGUAGAGAGACAACGAUCAAACCUUGUUUAAACCUUAGAAUGGUAUAGCAAGUUUUCCCUUGUACAAGGCAGCUUUUGCCAACCGUAGGUUAUACGGUGAGGAUCAACCCAGACCCAUUUCCUGCAGGAGAAACCAUAAAUUGUUGACCACCAUGAGAUAUCGAUUAGUUGUUUAGUACUGGUGCCAGACCCGUCAGGUAGGAAGACCCAGUCUCGGAAUAACCUUACCAAGAUGAAAGGACAAAAGAAUUGAGGAAAAGGUUAUGUCGUUACCGGAAGAGCCCACAGAAAGAAAUUAUACUGAAGAUCUGAGAAGACCGGCCCUAUCAAGAAUAAGGAUGGAGUAUAUGAGUAUUGAUGGGACCGUAACAAUGUUUCUAAGGGUGGUAGCACCCGAGACCCCGGAUACAAUCGAUGGAUUUUGAGAAGACCCCGAACCUAACCUAUUUCUUUUUAGCCUCUCCGAAUCUCGAGAACGAGGUUCAUUUUAAGGGUGGUAGGUUUGUAACAUCCCAAAAUUCUAAAUUUUGGAAUGUUAUAAUAAAUAAAUAGAUUUGAUUGAUUGUUUGAUUGAUUGUCUGAAAGUGAGUGAAUUCGAAACUUUUUGAAAGUUAAAUGAGAGGGAAUAAAAGGACUUUCCCAAACUUUCAUAUUUGCUUUCUGAUCUCCAUGAAUUCAAAUUCUUUUCAAAUAAUUGAAUUUAAUUUGGAAAUAUUUCAAUUCAUAAACUUCAUGCAGCUCAAUGAUUUUCAUGAGAGAAGAUAAAAUGACUUCUUCAAAUUAUAUGAAAUAUGAGUUUGGAGCUUCAAAGAAUUAAAUUCAAAGUUCUUUUGAAUUUAUUUUCAAUUUGGAGUUAUUUGAGUUUUAUUCAAAUUAUUUUCUCCAAAAAUAAAAUAUAUGGAAAUUAGUGUAACAUGAUUCCCUACAACAGAAAAUUGGAGAGAACUAAAUUUGAAAUCAUUUUGGUAUUUUUAAAAUGAUUUUUGUUGGAUCUUAUUAGAGCAGGAGCACUGUUGGAAUUAUUAGAAUUUGUGUGUAUUUUUUUAAUGCUAGAAAAAUGUUCAUGUCAUAGAAAAUCUUUUUCUGAGAACUUUGAUAUAUAAUAUGCCUAUAUAAAUUUUUUUAUUUUAUCUUUGCUAUUCGGUUUUCCUUCUGUUUCUAUUAAAAAAAACGGUACGUGCGGCCCAUAUUUAUUUAUCGCCUACAUGCGCAGUAUAGUAGCUUCUGGCCCCAUUGUUUUUCUCUCUCUUAAAUGGGCCAGGCCCAGCCAACCUUUUCAUUUAUUUAGUCCGAAUUUUGUUUAAAAAAAUAGCAGCCGCAUGUGCGCGCGGCCGGCCGAAGGCCUUUAGGCCCAUCCGCCUCUUUUCUUCUUUGUUUCGUAUAUUUUCGUUUACGUUUAGUCCCACAUUGUGUAGCCUUUGACCCUAAGCCUCUUUUCCACCGAUAAAUAGAGACCCAUAGAGCCUCCAAAAAUCAUCCGAUUCGGGUUAAAUCAAUAUUUUGGUUUGACUAGAUUCAUUUAAGAAAAAUAUUUUUCUCCUCUCCGACGCGACUUCUGGAAGUUGUCUCCUCUCUCCAAAGUUGUCUUUUCUCUGCCUUGUAAAGGUAUCUCUCUUUGUUUUUUUCUUCUUAUACUUCCGUAGCUUAUUAUUUUUAGACUAAUAUGAUAUAAUAAUUAGAUUAUCAAUUAGUCUACGUAUUUAUACUUUAGACCUUAAUCGUAGCUAUUUUUCUAUCGUAAAACAGCUUGGCCCUGAUUUUUCAAAUAACCAUAACUUUUUACUCGUUUGUCCAAAUCCAACGAAACCAACGCCC